This 497-nucleotide ribosomal RNA is filed under the name uncultured bacterium. RNAcentral's name for it is "partial 16S ribosomal RNA". It matches the Rfam family "Bacterial small subunit ribosomal RNA", at positions 28 to 507 of the family's 1533-position model. The record is from RNAcentral.
GAUGAACGCUGGCGGCGUGCCUAAUACAUGCAAGUCGAGCGAACGGACGAGAAGCUUGCUUCUCUGAUGUUAGCGGCGGACGGGUGAGUAACACGUGGAUAACCUACCUAUAAGACUGGGAUAACUUCGGGAAACCGGAGCUAAUACCGGAUGAUAUUUUGAACCGCAUGGUUCAAAAGUGAAAGACGGUCUUGCUGUCACUUAUAGAUGGAUCCGCGCUGCAUUAGCUAGUUGGUAAGGUAACGGCUUACCAAGGCAACGAUGCAUAGCCGACCUGAGAGGGUGGUCGGCCACACUGGAACUGAGACACAGUCCAGACUCCUGCGGGAGGCAGCAGUAGGGAAUCUUCCGCAAUGGGCGAGAGCCUGACGGAGCAACGCCGCGUGAGUGAUGAAGGUCUUCGGAUCGUAAAACUCUGUUAUUAGGGGAGAACAUAUGUGUAAGUAACUGUGCACAUCUUGACGGUACCUAAUCAGAAAGCCACGGCUAACUACGUG